This 503-nucleotide ribosomal RNA is filed under the name Hygrosoma sp. i ZW-2022. RNAcentral describes it as "partial large subunit ribosomal RNA". It matches the Rfam family "Bacterial large subunit ribosomal RNA", at positions 1928 to 2584 of the family's 2925-position model. The record is from RNAcentral. Lineage: Eukaryota; Metazoa; Echinodermata; Echinoidea; Echinothurioida; Echinothuriidae.
CGGCCGCGGUAUCUUGACCGUGCGAAGGUAGCAUAAUCAUUUGUCUCCUAAAUAGAGACUAGUAUGAAUGGCAAGACGGAGCUCUACUGUCUCCUUACCCCAAACUUGAAUUUCACUUCCCCGUGAAGAGGCGGGGAUUAUUUCGCUAGACGAGAAGACCCUGUCGAGCUUACAGCAAAGUAAAGAUUUUCAGCUUCUAAUAGAACUUCUAAUUUUCAAAUUUAGAGCUAACUUUGAAAGAAAAAUCCUUACUAGCUUAAGUUGGGGCAACUGCGGAGUAAAUCAAACCUCCGUUAUUAUAAAUUUUAAUAAAGAGACAUAUCUCUAUACUAUCAUCGCAAAGACGAAAGAAUGAUCCACCUAGGUGAUCAAAAGAAAAAGUUACCGCAGGGAUAACAGCGUUAUCUUCUUUAAGAGUCCAUAUUGACAAGAAGGUUUGCGACCUCGAUGUUGGAUCGGGACAUCCUAGGGGUGCAGAAGCUUUUAAGGGUUGGUCUGUUCGA